GACGAACGCUGGCGGCGUGCUUAACACAUGCAAGUCGAACGGUGAAGCCCUUCGGGGUGGAUCAGUGGCGAACGGGUGAGUAACACGUGGGUAACCUGCCCCUCACUCUGGGAUAACUCCGGGAAACCGGGGCUAAUACCGGAUACGACCUCCUUGGGCAUCCUCGGAGGUGGAAAGUUUUUCGGUGAGGGAUGGACCCGCGGCCUAUCAGCUUGUUGGUGGAGGUAAUGGCCUACCAAGGCUUUGACGGGUAGCCGGCCUGAGAGGGCGACCGGCCACACUGGGACUGAGACACGGCCCAGACUCCUACGGGAGGCAGCAGUGGGGAAUAUUGCACAAUGGGCGAAAGCCUGAUGCAGCGACGCCGCGUGAGGGAUGACGGCCUUCGGGUUGUAAACCUCUUUCAGCAGGGACGAAGCGCAAG
This 424-nucleotide ribosomal RNA is filed under the name Actinobacteridae bacterium Ellin7074. Its description in RNAcentral is "bacterial SSU rRNA". It matches the Rfam family "Bacterial small subunit ribosomal RNA", at positions 28 to 456 of the family's 1533-position model. Lineage: Bacteria; Bacillati; Actinomycetota; Actinomycetes. The record is from RNAcentral.